GAGUUUGAUUAUGGCUCAGGAUGAAUGCUGGCGGCGUGCCUAACACAUGCAAGUCGAGCGGUAACAGGGAAAAGCUUGCUUUUCUGCUGACGAGCGGCGGACGGCUGAGUAACGCGUGGGAAUUUGCCCCAAAGUGAGGGAUAACUGCCCGAAAGGGUAGCUAAUACCGCAUAUGGUCUUCGGAUUAAAGGAUUUAUCUGCUUUGGGAGAAGCCCGCGUUGGAUUAGGUAGUUGGUAGGGUAAUGGCCUACCAAGCCGACGAUCCAUAGCUGGUCUGAGAGGAUGAUCAGCCAGACUGGAACUGAGACACGGUCCAGACUCCUACGGGAGGCAGCAGUGAGGAAUCUUCCACAAUGGGCGAAAGCCUGAUGGAGCAACGCCGCGUGAAGGAUGAAGGCCUUCGGGUUGUAAACUUCUUUUAUGAGUGAAGAAUAUGACCGUACUCANANGCC
This 452-nucleotide ribosomal RNA is filed under the name TM7 phylum sp. canine oral taxon 305. RNAcentral describes it as "bacterial SSU rRNA". It matches the Rfam family "Bacterial small subunit ribosomal RNA", at positions 9 to 467 of the family's 1533-position model. The record is from RNAcentral. Lineage: Bacteria; Candidatus Saccharimonadota.